GAUGAACGCUGGCGGCGUGCCUAAUACAUGCAAGUCGAGCGAACGGACGAGAAGCUUGCUUUUCUGAUGUUAGCGGCGGACGGGUGAGUAACACGUGGAUAACCUACCUAUAAGACUGGGAUAACUUCGGGAAACCGGAGCUAAUACCGGAUAAUAUUUUGAACCGCAUGGUUCAAAAGUGAAAGACGGUCUUGCUGUCACUUAUAGAUGGAUCCGCGCUGCAUUAGCUAGUUGGUAAGGUAACGGCUUACCAAGGCAACGAUGCAUAGCCGACCUGAGAGGGUGAUCGGCCACACUGGAACUGAGACACGGUCCAGACUCCUACGGGUGGCAGCAGUAGGGAAUCUUCCGCAAUGGGCGAAAGCCUGACGGAGCAACGCCGCGUGAGUGAUGAAGGUCUUCGGAUCGUAAAACUCUGUUAUUAGGGAAGAACAUAUGUGUAAGUAACUGUGCACAUCUUGACGGUACCUAAUCAGAAAGCCACGGCUAACUACGUG
RNAcentral lists this ribosomal RNA (497 nucleotides) under uncultured bacterium. RNAcentral describes it as "partial 16S ribosomal RNA". It matches the Rfam family "Bacterial small subunit ribosomal RNA", at positions 28 to 507 of the family's 1533-position model. The record is from RNAcentral.